RNA transcript from Lycium ferocissimum, 1939 nucleotides. It is a transcript of the gene named casein kinase 1-like protein 3, with no coding region annotated. The transcript has 17 exons. Lineage: Eukaryota; Viridiplantae; Streptophyta; Magnoliopsida; Solanales; Solanaceae. The record is from RefSeq and is a predicted model, not a curated record.
GCACAAAACUCACAAAAUGACCAUAAUGGUUAUUAUGUGGAGAAAAUCCCGUCCCUAGGGAAGCAAAAGUCAAGAGUUAGGAGUAAUACUAUUCUCGUCUUUCUUAAUUCUUCUCUCCAAAACAGUUCUUCAACCCUUGUUGGUUUUCACUUUGCUAUACCUGAAGAUAUAUAUAGCUGAAAAUUCACAAAAAUCCUUUGUUUCUUCUUUUCUUGAUUGAAUCAAGAACUGACUUUGAGGGUUAUAUUUAUGGAGAGAAUAAUUGGAGAGAAGUAUAAGUUAGGUAGAAAGAUUGGAAGCGGUUCUUUUGGGGUUAUAUAUCUUGCUACCCACAUUGAAACUUUUGAGAUUGUUGCUGUUAAAAUUGAAAAUAGGCAGACAAGACACCCUCAGUUGCUUUAUGAGGCAAAGCUGUACACUAUACUUCAGGGAGGAAGUGGUAUUCCUAAUAUAAAAUGGCGUGGGGUUGAUGGGAAUGACAGUGUCCUCAUUAUUGACCUGCUUGGUCCCAGUCUUGAAGACCUUGUUGUACACUGUGGGAGGAAAUUUUCGCUGAAAACUGUCCUAAUGUUGGCUGAUCAGAUGAUUACGAGAAUAGAGUAUUUGCAUUCAAAAGGAUUUCUACAUAGAGACAUAAAACCAGAUAACUUCCUCAUGGGUCUUGGCAGGAAGGCAAAUCAGGUCUAUGUUAUUGAUUUUGGACUUGCAAAACGAUAUCGUGACCCUGUCACAAACCGUCAUAUUCCUUACAGGGAGAACAAGAACCUGACAGGGACAGCAAGGUAUGCCAGUUGCAAUACACAUUUGGGAAUAGAGCAAAGCCGGAGGGAUGAUCUGGAAUCUCUUGGCUACGUUCUUUUAUAUUUCUUGAGAGGCAGCCUUCCGUGGCAGGGUCUAAAAGCUGAUACAAAGAAGCAAAAAUAUGACAAGAUCCGUGAGAAAAAAGUAUCAACACCAAUUGAGGUUUUAUGCAAAUCUCUUCCGGUGGAGUUUGCUUCAUACUUGCAUUAUUGUCACUCUUUAACAUUUGACCAGCGCCCUGAUUAUGGAUUCCUGAAACGCUUGUUUCGUGACUUAUUUACACGUGAAGGGUAUAAAAUGGAUUAUGUGUUUGAUUGGACCAUCUUGAAAUAUCAGCAGACACAGAGGUCAAAGUCGCAGCUAGAACUACCGAGUCUUCAUCCACUUUCUGUAACGACGGGUACUGGAGCAUUGCCAAAGGUUUUACAUAAGCAAGCUGAAGCUACAAAACAGAAGAUAUCAGGUAAUUUUGUACGUGGUGAUGCAUCAGCAACCAAUCUGAAACCUGACAAUCGUACUGGAAAAAAUAUAACAAGCGAUGCGUCUGUUCCUUCUACAUCGUUGGCUGAUGCCUUCAAGAGAAGCUUCCCAAAACAUGAAGAUUCAAUUGAAGUUGGAAAUGUAGGUCAUGCACAAAGUGGGAAAGCUGGUGCUUCAAGCAGCAAGCUGCAUUUCUUGAGCAGGAUGUCUUCUAGGUGAACUGGGAUCAUAGCAUGUAGGAGAAGUGCCGAAGAAGUCAAGGUCUACUUCGUGAUGUUGAAUUCACUUGAGCCAUGUGUACCAGUAUUCUAUCCAUCUCGAGGUGCUCAAGUUCCUGAAAGCUCAAAUCCAGUAUUAGAGCAUUUCAGACAUCUAUAUGUCAUGAACUUGAUGAUGAAGCCUGCCUUUGGUGUUGAAGUUCCAAUGGGGCACCAUCAUGGCUCUUAUAAAAAAUCAACGUUGCCUUUGUUUAUAAUCAUAUACUUGCUGCGGAGAUGAUGGAAUUCUGUAACCUGGAGUCAGAGGUAUUGUGUGAUUGGAGCCAUAGCUUUUCUGCUCCUUUUAUUUUAUCUAUCAUGUCUCGAAAACAAUCUUCAUACUACUACAUGGUAGCCAUUUUCGCUUCAAUAAGGCUUUUUCGUGUAUUUAGCUCACAAAU